Molecule: long non-coding RNA, 1317 nt
Organism: Apis florea (little honeybee)
Lineage: Eukaryota; Metazoa; Arthropoda; Insecta; Hymenoptera; Apidae
Source: RefSeq, a predicted model, not a curated record
AUAAAAAUAGAAAUAAAAUUUCUUUCUCUCUCUCUCUCUCUCUCUUUCUCUCUCGUUUUAUUCAAUUCUUAGACGACAGAAUCACGAUCCAUAUCGUCUACGAUUUUCAUCUCGAUCGAUGGAAGAUGAGGGGAAGGCAGGAAACAGAAGAAUAUUGAUUACGUUGUUCGAGUACGUGCUCGCAGAAGAACGAUAUUCCUCUUCCUUCUUUUUUCUCUCUCUCUUUUUUUUCCCUCUCCGUUUACCUUGGCUCCACUGGAAUGCGUCGAAGAUAAGUCGAACAACGAAGGAAAGAGGUUUUGUUUUUUCCAAUGGAAAUAUCGUGUACAGGUGCGCACGGAACGGACGGAAAGAGUGGUUAACGAAGGAAGGAAACCUCGAGCUCGUAUCAUCCGCUCGAAUACGUGUACGUAUUUCGAUCGAAAAAGACCAACGUAUGCAAAAUUGGCCGCCACUUCAGCCACGAAUGCUUGCCAAUCCACGAUAUAGUUAUACCGUGUAUAUAGACCACGAUUACGCGAAUAUAUCAACUUGUACAAUUUAUCGACGAGUCUAGCGUUCCGUCGAUAAACUAAAAAGACGCGAGAAUCGAUUCGAUGGCGAGAGAGAGACUUCUCGAAACUUGUGUGUCACACUUGGAUUAUCCGAUUAUCUUUCACGCGUAGGAAUUGCAAGAUUGGACACGAUUUCUCAUUUCGUUCUAUAUAAAUCCAUGCAAACUCGAAACAAACGAGUUUUGGAACGUGACCGGGUGAAAUACGAUAGUGUUCAAAAUUAUUGGAUACGAUUGUUCGGUGUUUCUUUAAGUCUUCCCAAGUUGAAAUAACAAAAGGAUAAUAUAGGAAAAUUUCUAGAAUAUUUCGAAUUCUUCACGCGGCGAGACGUGUAAUAGCCUUAAAAUUAUAUCGGAUAAGAUUCUACUAAGACUUCGUAGCCUCGUAAGGCUAACCUAACCUAAUCACGCGACAACGAUACAUGUAUAGACGUGUAAUUUACCAAAUCGAAAAGUGAAAGUGCGAGAGACUAUGUAGCCGAAAUGAAACCGAGUUCUCACGAAAGAACAACUUGAUCGACGAUUCGAAAAGAAGAGAAGAGAAGAAGUGAAAAUAAAUGAGACGAAAGAAAGAAAGAUGGCAUAAGCGACGCACAGGCCACUUCGAAUCAAAAACCGAUAUCGUGCCGUUCAAACGUUCGGUAAACAAAUGGCAUUUUGCCAGUUUCGAGGCAAUACACCGAUUGGCAGCGCACCAAUUUAUCACGUGACCGGUUAACGAGCCAAUAGAUUUCGUAGAACGUCACUGACGUAUUUAACCCGGA